UAACAAGGUUUCCGUAGGUGAACCUGCGGAGGGAUCAUUACAAGUGACCCCGGUCUAACCACCGGGAUGUUCAUAACCCUUUGUUGUCCGACUCUGUUGCCUCCGGGGCGACCCUGCCUUCGGGCGGGGGCUCCGGGUGGACACUUCAAACUCUUGCGUAACUUUGCAGUCUGAGUAAACUUAAUUAAUAAAUUAAAACUUUUAACAACGGAUCUCUUGGU
This 221-nucleotide unclassified non-coding RNA is filed under the name uncultured fungus. Its description in RNAcentral is "partial contains 18S rRNA, ITS1, 5.8S rRNA". Lineage: Eukaryota; Fungi. The record is from RNAcentral.